CAUGCAAGUCGAACGAGCGAGAGAGAGCUUGCUUUCUCGAGCGAGUGGCGAACGGGUGAGUAACGCGUGAGGAACCUGCCUCAAAGAGGGGGACAACAGUUGGAAACGACUGCUAAUACCGCAUAAGCCCACGGGUCGGCAUCGACCAGAGGGAAAAGGAGCAAUCCGCUUUGAGAUGGCCUCGCGUCCGAUUAGCUGGUUGGUGAGGUAACGGCCCACCAAGGCGACGAUCGGUAGCCGGACUGAGAGGUUGAACGGCCACAUUGGGACUGAGACACGGCCCAGACUCCUACGGGAGGCAGCAGUGGGGAAUAUUGCACAAUGGGGGAAACCCUGAUGCAGCGACGCCGCGUGGAGGAAGAAGGUCUUCGGAUUGUAAACUCCUGUUGUUGGGGAAGAUAAUGACGGUACCCAACAAGGAAGUGACGGCUAACUACGUGCCAGCAGCCGCGGUAAAACGUAGGUCACAAGCGUUGUCCGGAAUUACUGGGUGUAAAGGGAGCGCAGGCGGGAAGACAAGUUGGAAGUGAAAUCCAUGGGCUCAACCCAUGAACUGCUUUCAAAACUGUUUUUCUUGAGUAGUGCAGAGGUAGGCGGAAUUCCCGGUGUAGCGGUGGAAUGCGUAGAUAUCGGGAGGAACACCAGUGGCGAAGGCGGCCUACUGGGCACCAACUGACGCUGAGGCUCGAAAGUGUGGGUAGCAAACAGGAUUAGAUACCCUGGUAGUCCACACCGUAAACGAUGAUUACUAGGUGUUGGAGGAUUGACCCCUUCAGUGCCGCAGUUAACACAAUAAGUAAUCCACCUGGGGAGUACGACCGCAAGGUUGAAACUCAAAGGAAUUGACGGGGGCCCGCACAAGCAGUGGAGUAUGUGGUUUAAUUCGACGCAACGCGAAGAACCUUACCAAGUCUUGACAUCCGUUGACCGCUGUAGAAAUACAGUUUU
RNAcentral lists this ribosomal RNA (948 nucleotides) under uncultured bacterium. RNAcentral describes it as "bacterial SSU rRNA". It matches the Rfam family "Bacterial small subunit ribosomal RNA", at positions 54 to 1015 of the family's 1533-position model. The record is from RNAcentral.